Molecule: ribosomal RNA, 1289 nt
Filed under: Rhynchosporium agropyri
Lineage: Eukaryota; Fungi; Ascomycota; Leotiomycetes; Helotiales; Ploettnerulaceae
Description: partial large subunit ribosomal RNA
Rfam family: Eukaryotic large subunit ribosomal RNA
Source: RNAcentral
CGGCGAGUGAAGCGGUAACAGCUCAAAUUUGAAAGCUAGCUCUUUGAGGGUUCGCAUUGUAAUUUGUAGAAGAUGCUUCGGGUGUGGCCCCGGUCUAAGUUCCUUGGAACAGGACGUCAUAGAGGGUGAGAAUCCCGUAUGUGACUGGGUGCUUUCGCUCAUGUGAAGCUCUUUCGACGAGUCGAGUUGUUUGGGAAUGCAGCUCUAAAUGGGUGGUACAUUUCAUCUAAAGCUAAAUAUUGGCCAGAGACCGAUAGCGCACAAGUAGAGUGAUCGAAAGAUGAAAAGCACUUUGGAAAGAGAGUUAAACAGUACGUGAAAUUGUUGAAAGGGAAGCGCUUGCAACCAGACUUGCGCGCUGAUGAUCAUCCGGGCUUCUGCCCGGUGCACUCGUCUGCGCUCAGGCCAGCAUCGGUUUCGGUGGUGGGAUAAAGGCCUUGGGAAUGUAGCUCCUCUCGGGGAGUGUUAUAGCCCUCGGUGCAAUGCCGCCUACCGGGACCGAGGACCGCGCUUCGGCUAGGAUGCUGGCGUAAUGGUUGUAAGCGACCCGUCUUGAAACACGGACCAAGGAGUCUAACAUCUAUGCGAGUGUUUGGGUGUCAAACCCAUACGCGUAAUGAAAGUGAACGGAGGUGAGAACCCUUAAGGGUGCAUCAUCGACCGGUCCUGAUGUCUUCGGAUGGAUCUGAGUAAGAGCAUAGCUGUUGGGACCCGAAAGAUGGUGAACUAUGCGUGAAUAGGGUGAAGCCAGAGGAAACUCUGGUGGAGGCUCGCAGCGGUUCUGACGUGCAAAUCGAUCGUCAAAUUUGCGUAUAGGGGCGAAAGACUAAUCGAACCAUUGUCGGCAGGCACAAAAAAUUCUUGUAAAAGUAGGCUAAAAAGCAACGCUAUUUGCUAUGCUUGCUGGCCGGAUCUUGCGAGGUCUAAAAAACAAGAAAUGAUUUUUGCUGCUAGGUGGUUAAGAGGUAUAUUAAAAGUAUACUUAGUCCGUAGAGGGCAACACUAUCAAAUUGCGGGGACGUCCUGUUUUAAAUACUGAACUACCGCAGCUGCCUCGAAAGAGGUAGUGCGCACCAGGUUAAUGACCUUGGGGAUGGUAAAAACGUUUAGAUAGGGAUAAUCCGCAGCCAAGUCCUAUAGGGUCUUAAGACCUACGGAUGCAGUUCACAGACUAAAUGAUAGUGGGUUAGAUACUCUAGCUUAAGAUAUAGUCGAAUCCCUCGAGAGAUCAAGGGCGGAGUUAAUACUUCCGUUUCUAUUGACUUUUCGUUACUGUAGGCUUGUGGGUG